GCCGCGGUAGCUCAGCUGGGAGAGCGUUAGACUGAAGAUCUACAGGUCACCUGUUCAAGCCAGGUUCGUGGCA
Transfer RNA from Rhizoctonia solani, 73 nucleotides. It matches the Rfam family "tRNA". Rfam says of the family: Transfer RNA (tRNA) molecules are approximately 80 nucleotides in length. Their secondary structure includes four short double-helical elements and three loops (D, anti-codon, and T loops). NCBI's taxonomy places the organism in Eukaryota, Fungi, Basidiomycota, Agaricomycetes, Cantharellales, Ceratobasidiaceae. The record is from Rfam.